This 854-nucleotide ribosomal RNA is filed under the name Fusarium louisianense. RNAcentral's name for it is "LSU rRNA". It matches the Rfam family "Eukaryotic large subunit ribosomal RNA", at positions 34 to 918 of the family's 3401-position model. Lineage: Eukaryota; Fungi; Ascomycota; Sordariomycetes; Hypocreales; Nectriaceae. The record is from RNAcentral.
UUAAGCAUAUCAAUAAGCGGAGGAAAAGAAACCAACAGGGAUUGCCCUAGUAACGGCGAGUGAAGCGGCAACAGCUCAAAUUUGAAAUCUGGCUUUCGGGCCCGAGUUGUAAUUUGUAGAGGAUGAUUUUGAUGCGGUGCCUUCCGAGUUCCCUGGAACGGGACGCCAUAGAGGGUGAGAGCCCCGUCUGGUUGGAUGCCAAAUCUCUGUAAAUCUCCUUCGACGAGUCGAGUAGUUUGGGAAUGCUGCUCUAAAUGGGAGGUAUAUGUCUUCUAAAGCUAAAUACCGGCCAGAGACCGAUAGCGCACAAGUAGAGUGAUCGAAAGAUGAAAAGCACUUUGAAAAGAGAGUUAAAAAGUACGUGAAAUUGUUGAAAGGGAAGCGUUUAUGACCAGACUUGGGCUUGGUUAAUCAUCUGGGGUUCUCUCCAGUGCACUUUUCCAGUCCAGGCCAGCAUCAGUUUUCGCCGGGGGAUAAAGGCUUCGGGAAUGUGGCUCCCCUCGGGGAGUGUUAUAGCCCGUUGUGUAAUACCCUGGUGGGGACUGAGGUUCGCGCUUCUGCAAGGAUGCUGGCGUAAUGGUCAUCAACGACCCGUCUUGAAACACGGACCAAGGAGUCGUCUUCGUAUGCGAGUGUUCGGGUGUCAAACCCCUACGCGUAAUGAAAGUGAACGCAGGUGAGAGCUUCGGCGCAUCAUCGACCGAUCCUGAUGUUCUCGGAUGGAUUUGAGUAAGAGCAUACGGGGCCGGACCCGAAAGAAGGUGAACUAUGCCUGUGUAGGGUGAAGCCAGAGGAAACUCUGGUGGAGGCUCGCAGCGGUUCUGACGUGCAAAUCGAUCGUCAAACAUGGGCAU